UUUGGUGUUUGGCAUUUAUAGUAUAUGUAUUUGAUUAAAUUUAAAAUUUAGAUUUUGUAUUUAGAGUUCACAGUUAUAGUGUAUAUGUUAGAAUUUAGAGUACAAUUUAAAUUUUUGAAAUUUGUAAAUUAGGAUUUAUGAUGUAGGUUAAUAUGACGUAUGUGGUUUAGGGUUUAGGGUUAAGAUUUAUAAUUAAUUAUAUGGUUUGAGUUUAAAGAAUAUAUUUGGAAUCUAAGUUUAAAAUUUAUAUUAUAAAUUAAAAAAAAAGAUUUAUGACUUUGUAUGUAAGAUUUAAGUUUGGGGUUUAGGGUAUUAUAUUUAGGGUAUAGAUUUAAGAUUUAAUGUUUGAGGGUUAUAAUUUAAAUUUGAGAUUCUAUUUUUAAAAUUAUUAAACUUUAAAUUUAAAUUUAAGAUCGAAAUUAUAUUAUGAAAAUAUUGAAAUUUUAGUGUUUAUGUUUAGGGUAAGGGUUUAAACCCCAAAUUAAAGUAUAUAUUUAGAGUUUGGGGGAUGAUUGUUUAAAGUAUAUAUUUAGAAUAUGAAAUUAAUCUUUAAAAAAAUAGGAUUUUAACUAUUCAAUUUUUUUAU
This 586-nucleotide long non-coding RNA is filed under the name Brassica napus (rape). Its description in RNAcentral is "long non-coding RNA (BNAP_LNC012372)". The record is from RNAcentral. Lineage: Eukaryota; Viridiplantae; Streptophyta; Magnoliopsida; Brassicales; Brassicaceae.